Molecule: non-coding RNA, 1077 nt
Organism: Mobula hypostoma (lesser devil ray)
Lineage: Eukaryota; Metazoa; Chordata; Chondrichthyes; Myliobatiformes; Myliobatidae
Source: the annotation of a RefSeq genome assembly
UGAAAAUGUUUGACAUUUCCAUUGUUUGCCCAUCAGUUCCACUGGAGACAAAAGGUCCCAAAGUCAGACUGCUGCCACCGCCAGAGGGAGAGACCAAGAGUGGGAACACGGUCACCCUCGAGUGUGUUGCCUCUGGAUUCUACCCGGACCAAAUAACCGUCACCUGGGAGAAAGGGGACUCUCUGAUCUCUUCCAACACCAGUGUGAGACAAACUGCUCUGGAACAGGCAGGGACUUUCAUUGCCAGCUACGUCCUGACCGUGAGCACAGAGGAGUGGAAGGAAGGCUCAGUUUUCAGAUGCACAGUGUCUCAUCCCCCCUCCAACACCAGUGUCAGGCAGGAUGUGAAAAACAUUCAAGAAACCUGCACAGACAUGACAGGAGAGGAGGGGAAGGAAGAACAGGGACACGUGGAUGGAGAUGACAAUGUGCUUACAGUUGUUGCCUUUGUCAUUCUGUUCAUCAUCAGUUUCCUCUACAGCACCUUAGUCACCGUUGUCAAGGUUCAGCAGUGACCAGCAGAUACACACCCCACAUUCAAUCAGGAGAUCCCCAUGUGGCUGCGAUGUUUGGAAAUGGAGUCUCCAUCUCACUCACUCGGCAAUCCGAGGCUACUGCACUGCAACUGCUCAUUUCAGGAAAUAAACCUCUAAAUGUACCGGGAAUGCCAGAUGGGAAAUGGGGGCACAGAGCCGGUUCAGUGGGUGGAGGGACAGCGGUGGAUGAUACAUUGGGAAAAUGGCAGGAUAUGUGACACUGGAGGGGGUAUACAGGAGGGGAGAGGAAGGCAGAGUUAAGGCUUGGGAAUGGGAGCAGGGGAAUGGGGGUGUGUUUAGUGAUGGAGAAGAGGGAGUUGAGGAAGUGGUUAUUAUUGUUAUGGAGCAAGAAGUUGACAUGGGGAGGGGGAGUGUGGUGGAGGAUGUUCUGUCAAAUUUUGUAAAUCAAAUUUUGUGGAAAUCAUUGCCUGUAGCUUUUCUUCCAGUUUUCCACUGGAGUUUAUGUCAUGAUUUGAAAUUUUAUUCAUUAAAAAUAAAGAAAAAGAGAAAAUGAAGUGACUGGAGUUGAUAAAACUGAGGG